This 674-nucleotide ribosomal RNA is filed under the name uncultured fungus. RNAcentral describes it as "SSU rRNA". It matches the Rfam family "Eukaryotic small subunit ribosomal RNA", at positions 331 to 1009 of the family's 1831-position model. The record is from RNAcentral. Lineage: Eukaryota; Fungi.
GGAUAGAGGCCUACCAUGGUGGUAACGGGUAACGGGGUGUUAGGGCACGACACCGGAGAGGGAGCCUGAGAAACGGCUACCACAUCCAAGGAUGGCAGCAGGCGCGCAAAUUACCCAAUCCCGACACGGGGAGGUAGUGACAAUAAAUAACAAUACGGGGUUCUUUCGGAUCUCGUAAUUGGAAUGAGUACAAUUUAAAUCUCUUAACGAGGAACAAUUGGAGGGCAAGUCUGGUGCCAGCAGCCGCGGUAAUUCCAGCUCCAAUAGCGUAUAUUAAAGUUGUUGCAGUUAAAAAGCUCGUAGUUGAAUUUCGGGGUUAGUAGGUUGGUCAUGCCUCUGGUAUGUACUGAUCUCACUGAUUCCUCCUUCCUGAUGAACCGUAAUGCCAUUAAUUUGGUGUUGCGGGGAAUUUGGACUGUUACUUUGAAAAAAUUAGAGUGUUUAAAGCAAGCUAACGCUUGAAUACAUUAGCAUGGAAUAAUGAAAUAGGACGUUCGAUCCUAUUUUGUUGGUUUCUAGGAUUGACGUAAUGAUUAAUAGGGAUAGUUGGGGGCAUUAGUAUUCAAUUGUCAGAGGUGAAAUUCUUGGAUUUAUUGAAGACUAACUACUGCGAAAGCAUUUGCCAAGGAUGUUUUCAUUAAUCAAGAACGAAAGUUAGGGGAUCGAAGACGAUC